RNAcentral lists this ribosomal RNA (292 nucleotides) under uncultured bacterium. RNAcentral's name for it is "partial 16S ribosomal RNA". It matches the Rfam family "Bacterial small subunit ribosomal RNA", at positions 505 to 796 of the family's 1533-position model. The record is from RNAcentral.
GUGCCAGCAGCCGCGGUAAUACGGGGGGGGCAAGCGUUGUUCGGAAUUACUGGGCGUAAAGGGCUCGUAGGUGGCCAACUAAGUCAGACGUGAAAUCCCUCGGCUUAACCGGGGAACUGCGUCUGAUACUGGAUGGCUUGAGUUUGGGAGAGGGACGCGGAAUUCCAGGUGUAGCGGUGAAAUGCGUAGAUAUCUGGAGGAACACCGGUGGCGAAGGCGGCGUCCUGGACCAACACUGACACUGAUGAGCGAAAGCCAGGGGAGCAAACGGGAUUAGAUACCCUCGUAGUCC